Cyanistes caeruleus (blue tit) is the source of this 1587-nucleotide long non-coding RNA. Lineage: Eukaryota; Metazoa; Chordata; Aves; Passeriformes; Paridae. The record is from Ensembl.
AUGAUUUUUUCAUCUUUGCUUGAAAUCCAGGAGAGGAAAAGGUCAACAUGGAAAAGUGUUCUCCCAGUUCUAGUGACAGCUGUGCCUGCACACCACCUGUGCCCAUGGCAGGGUGCUUGGAGACUGGAUGAUGUUGAUGAUACUUUGCAACACCAAGUGCUCAGGGAUUCUGGGAUUGCCCAAGUGGAGAGCAAAACUGAGCCGUGUAGUCCCUGCUUUUUUUCAGCACAUGCUGCUUCUUCCUUUGUUCCAAGCAAGUCCAGGAUUUGGUUUCAUGUGUCUUUAAGGUGCCUGGACAGAAGAGAGGGAGGGAGGGCAGCUGCCCCAUCAGACUCUCUCUCUCUAUCUCUCUCUCUCUCUCUCUCUCUUUCUCAGGAUGGCGCCAAUGCCGCUGCCUUGGGACACCUGAGUGUGGAAGGCGAGCUCGGCCUCAAGCACGGCCAUCCAAGUCAGUCACGGGCACAGGCUGCAGCUGAAGCUGGCAAGCGUUGCUGUAAGGCUGCAAGUGAAGAGAAAGCCAUUGUGGCCAACUCUGCUGAAGCCUUUUGCCAAAGCAAAGGCAAUUGUGCCCACAGCCUCCCCCUGUUUGGCACCCGGCUGCUGCGGACGCCUCAGUGCGCAGGUGCUGACGUUGGGGCUGCUGCUGUUCCUGGGCACACUCUGCUGCUGUUUCUGUGGGCUCCAGAGCCGCUUGGGCAGCAGCCACUGGGCAGCCCUGCUGGAGGAGACAUCGCCACCCUCCCCAUGGUGGCAGCAGCUCUGUGGGCCCCGAGCUCUGUGUCAGGGGGGCCUCGGUCACAGCAGCGUGGCCUGGGCAGCCGCGAGGGCCCGGGCUGGCCGCCAGCCCUGCCUCUGCCCACUGCCCCUUCCUGGAGGCACCCAGUGGCCGUGGCCUGGCAGCACCCCCUGCCCUCCAUGUCCCCAGCCAGCCCAGCCUGGGCACCUCGGGCUGUCCCCACCCUCCCGCUGGGGUGGUGUCCCAGCCUCCAGGCCUUCUGCUGCAGGCCUGGGGGACAUUUUGGGGAAGCACCGGAGCAGCCGGGUGUCAGGGACCAGGCGGCUGCCCGGGGGCUGCUUAUGGCCUCUGACACCCAAUUCCUCAGUGCUUCCCACCACCCCGGCUCCUCCAGGGCCUUCUGUCCCCUUGGAACCUCCUGCCACCCACUCCCUCACACAUCCCCCUCGUGCCUUCCCACUGCCUUGUCCCGUCUGGGCCUCCGCAGCCCCUCAUCCCUUCACGGCCUCCCAGCACCCCGUGCCCUCAGGGGCUCCCCCAGCCUGGCCCGGCAGCAGCGCCGCAGCCCCACAGGAGCUCCAGCAGCUCCUCAGCCAUCACGGCAGCAACACACGGGCAGCAGGACACAGAUGGCGCUUCCUGCCUGCCACAGGGCUUGUGGCUUCAGCACAACCACCAAAGGCCAAGGGGCUUCUGGCCAUUUCCCCUGCACCACUGCACGCCCCGGCAGGUUGCUGAACACAAGAACCCUUUUCCCUCUCUUCCCCUAUGCCCCACACACCCUGGGCAGCAAAAGAAAGGUCUUGGGACUCUUGUGGUUUAUAACAUAUCCUAUAUUAUUUACAUACUAG